GCGGCGGCGGCGGAGGGGCCGGGAACGCGUGGCUUGGCCGGGCUGAGGAAACCGCAACCCUUCCAGGCUCUCCUACAGCGCCUCCAGGGACUUAAAGAUGCCUCAGCCACGUGAUUACCCUGAUCUGCCUGCUGGGAGGUGAGCAAAGGUCUGAGAGGGACUAGAUCUCAGCAGAGACAGCAGUUCCUGAGCACCCACCCCCGAGCACUUCCAGAAAUGCAAUGCAACAUGGACCAGCGUGUGAGCAUUUGCUCCUCCUCAGGGGCAGCCAUGAGAUACAGAAACAGUUUCAAGACAUGGAUACUUGCUACCCUGCCUGCCAUUCUCCCUCUUCCCCUCAGAUCUAUGGUGUGUUCAACUGUAAGCAAAUUAUGGGUUCUGGCGACAUAAAUGCAACAGCACAGAAAUUCUGAUUACUUCAAACAACAUUCCUCCCCAGGCUCUAGCAUCAGUAAUGAAAUGUUCACACACACUUGGCAGUUUUUCAAUUUAUGGUUCCUCCCAUUGUCUUGAGAGGUCAGGCUGUUACAAAGUGUCUCUAGACAAUACUCAUUCAACAGCUAAGAGGCAAGCCACAACUGCUUUUUGGAGGAGCCUUGUAAAAACCAAAGUUGUCCAACUCAGAAUUUGAAGAUGCUACCAAAUAAAAGGGACCUGUGUUGAGCAAGUAAACUUUUUUAUACUUAAAAAAAAAUAAAAACAAACAACAACAACAA
Molecule: non-coding RNA, 716 nt
Organism: Odocoileus virginianus texanus
Lineage: Eukaryota; Metazoa; Chordata; Mammalia; Artiodactyla; Cervidae
Source: RefSeq, a predicted model, not a curated record